CCUCCUGUGGUGCAAUGGGUCAGUGCCUCUGGCUCUUAACCAGAAGGUUGUUGGUUCGAGCCUACCCAGGUUAGGA
Non-coding RNA from Podarcis lilfordi (Lilford's wall lizard), 76 nucleotides. The record is from the annotation of a GenBank genome assembly. NCBI's taxonomy places the organism in Eukaryota, Metazoa, Chordata, Lepidosauria, Squamata, Lacertidae.